This 75-nucleotide transfer RNA is filed under the name Actinomycetes bacterium. RNAcentral describes it as "Actinobacteria bacterium tRNA-Arg". It matches the Rfam family "tRNA". Rfam says of the family: Transfer RNA (tRNA) molecules are approximately 80 nucleotides in length. Lineage: Bacteria; Bacillati; Actinomycetota; Actinomycetes. The record is from RNAcentral.
GCCCUCGUAGCUCAGGGGAUAGAGCACCGGCCUCCGGAGCCGGGUGCGCAGGUUCGAAUCCUGUCGAGGGCGCAA